RNAcentral lists this ribosomal RNA (301 nucleotides) under uncultured bacterium. Its description in RNAcentral is "partial 16S ribosomal RNA". It matches the Rfam family "Bacterial small subunit ribosomal RNA", at positions 509 to 808 of the family's 1533-position model. The record is from RNAcentral.
CAGUCGCCGCGGGAACACGUAGGUGGCAAGCGUUGUCCGGAAUUAUUGGGCGUAAAGCGCGCGCAGGCGGAUCGGUCAGUCUGUCUUAAAAGUUCGGGGCUUAACCCCGUGAUGGGAUGGAAACUGCCAAUCUAGAGUAUCGGAGAGGAAAGUGGAAUUCCUAGUGUAGCGGUGAAAUGCGUAGAUAUUAGGAAGAACACCAGUGGCGAAGGCGACUUUCUGGACGAAAGCUGACGCUGAGGCGCGAAAGCGUGGGUAGCGAACCGGAUUAGAUACCCCAGUAGUCCCUGUCUCUUAUACC